UUAAAAAAUAUGGAAUAUGCACCAAAACUGAUAUAGCAGAUACACCAAAAGGAAAUUGUAGAAGCAAACUCACAAAACCCAGAAAAAAAAGUCUGCCGAUAGAAGCAAACCAAAUACCCAAAAAAUUCCAGCAAAAGCAAAGAGAGCAAAAAUAAUAGAAAUGGACCCAAGAUAGACAAGAAGAAAGCGAUGAAUCAGAGAAAACAACUAAGUUGCACUAUUAGGAAAAUGUAGUGUGUUGUCUUUGUUGAAUUAAAAAACAUGUGGAAUCAACAUCCUUUAGAAGUAAAUGGAAGAGACACAUACUCUUUUCAGUGCAAAAGUGUAUUGGUAACUGGGAAGUAUGUAAAAAACUGAAGAAGCAUUAGUUGAAGGUGAAGAAAGAAAGAGGUUGUUGUUGUCAUCUAACAUCACUUCUUCCUAUAUGCACCAGCACGCACAUAUAUAUAUAUAUAUAUAAUUAAAACAUGUAUUGCAAAAUAUACCGACUGAAAACAGUUUUGACCAUAUUUAAUUGUUAGUUCUAAGGCUCCAAUGUCAUUCAGCCAAUUGGUCAAACAUAUGGCAUACAAUUUCAUGAAAAUAUAUGAAAGUACGAUAUGAAUUAGCCAUCCUAAAAUAAUUAGGGCAAAGAAAUCACAGCAACCCUUCAUCAAUUUCACACAACCAUCAAAAUAGUCCAAAUAAGAAGAAAAACAAAAGAUAUCUAUGAAAAUCUCAUCACCAUAUAAAGGAAAUAGAACAGAGCCCAAAAACACAAAGAAGGAAAUUGCAAAAACCAACACAUAUCAGCAAAAUCUCAUCACCAAGAAACUCCGCAGAAUUCACAUAUAUGAUAAAUCCCAAAACCAAAGAGCAAAUGAGAAAAUGUAGAAAUCAAGUAAAAGCUAAUGGCCAGAAGAAGACACUUAAAGAAAAGUUGGAAUAGGGUAAUAAUCGAGCAUAAAGACUUAAGACCAAAAUCAAAUUUCAACUCAAAAAGGGAUCAUCACCUGGUUUUUGCCCGUUCUCGGUGCUACGCUUUGAUUGUGGUGAAUUGUUGUUGUACUGAUUUUUCUCCGUGCAUGCCUAGAAAAUUCCAGAUUGGGAUAUUGAGUAGAAAGAGAGAGAAAAGGGAAUUAAGAUUAAGAUGUUAAAGAAAAGAGAUGCACACCUGGAGUCAUAUAACAAUUACAGGUAGACUUAUGGGUAGGCAAAUAAAGCCACGUACAUGUAUGAUACAACAAAAGUGAUGCUAAAUGACUAAAGUGCUCUCAAGCCUUUUGAAAUAGACACUAAACAUACACGUCGAAAUUCAAGCUCUUCUAAUAUCUAGAAAAUGUGACAUAAAAAGAAAUUUCAGCACCAUGAUAGUGAACUGAUUUGAGUAAUCACUAAAUUGAUUGGCACUUUUAAACUUGUUAACCUAGAGCAAAAAUAAUAGAAAUGGACUCAAGAUAGAUAAGAAGAAAGCGAUGAACCAGAGAAAAUAACUAAGUUGCAAUAUUAGAAAAAUGUAAUAUGUUGUCUCUGUAGAAUUAAAAAGCACGUGGAAUCAGCAUCCUUUAGAAGUAAAUGGAAGAGACACGUACUCUUUUCAGUGCAAAAAUAUAUUGGUAACUGGGAAGUAUGUAAAAAACUGAAGAAGCAUUAGUUGAAAGUGAAUAAAGAAAGAGGUUGUUGUUGUCAUCUAACAUCACUGC
Molecule: long non-coding RNA, 1682 nt
Filed under: Nicotiana tabacum (common tobacco)
Lineage: Eukaryota; Viridiplantae; Streptophyta; Magnoliopsida; Solanales; Solanaceae
Description: long non-coding RNA (NTAB_LNC013953)
Source: RNAcentral